RNAcentral lists this ribosomal RNA (720 nucleotides) under uncultured anaerobic ammonium-oxidizing bacterium. RNAcentral describes it as "bacterial SSU rRNA". It matches the Rfam family "Bacterial small subunit ribosomal RNA", at positions 565 to 1274 of the family's 1533-position model. The record is from RNAcentral.
GAGCACGUAGGUGGGUUUGUAAGUCAGAUGUGAAAGCCUUCUGUUCAACGGAAGAAUUGCAUCUGAAACUGCGAGUCUUGAGUGUAGGAGGGGAGAAUGGAACUUCUGGUGGAGCGGUGAAAUGCGUAGAUAUCAGAAGGAACGCCGGCGGCGAAAGCGAUUCUCUGGCCUAUUACUGACACUCAGUGUGCGAAAGCUAGGGGAGCAAACGGGAUUAGAUACCCCGGUAGUCCUAGCCGUAAACGAUGGGCACUAAGUAGAGGGAAUUACCGAUAUUCUCUCUGCCGUAGCUAACGCAUUAAGUGCCCCGCCUGGGGAGUACGGCCGCAAGGCUAAAACUCAAAAGAAUUGACGGGGGCUCGCACAAGCGGUGGAGCAUGUGGCUUAAUUCGAUGCAACGCGAAAAACCUUACCGGGGCUCGACAUGGUAGAAGUAGGAACCCGAAAGGGUAACGAACGGUAUCCAGUCCGUAGCUAUUACAGGUGUUGCAUGGCUGUCGUCAGCUCGUGUCGUGAGACGUUGGGUUAAGUCCCCUAACGAGCGAAACCCUUGUUUUUAGUUGCCAGCGGGUUAUGCCGGGCACUCUAGAAAGACUGCCGUCGUCAAGACGGAGGAAGGUGGGGACGACGUCAAGUCAUCAUGGCCCUUAUGCCCCGGGCUGCACACGUGCUACAAUGGUCGGUACAAACGGAAGCGAAGCCGAGAGGUGAAGCGAAUCC